AUGAAUUCGAGGCCGAUCGUGCUCGUCUUCCUCCUGCUCGUGCUCAUCAUAUCAUCGCAGUUCGAGUGGAAGCAGCAGAUCGGUGAGGCCGAGGCGAGCCCGGAAGCUACACGGCGGAGGCAGCAACCGCAGAUCGUAAGGGAAGAUGCCGUUAAAGAGAAAAUAAUACUGGCGCAGGAGAAGAACAUCCAGCAGCUCACCGAGCUCAUCCAGAGCCUCCAGGUGCAGCUACUGCAUUGCCGUGGCAGCAACAGCACUGCUCAUGGCGCCUCCUCGAAUCAGUCUUCAGCCAGUUACUCCGAAGCGGACAGACAUCAGAUAAUCGAUGACUGA
RNAcentral lists this ribosomal RNA (333 nucleotides) under Triticum aestivum (bread wheat). Its description in RNAcentral is "partial small subunit ribosomal RNA". The record is from RNAcentral. Lineage: Eukaryota; Viridiplantae; Streptophyta; Magnoliopsida; Poales; Poaceae.